GUCGAGAAUUUUUCACAAUGGGCGAAAGCCUGAUGGAGCGACGCCGCGUGGGGGAUGAAUGGCUUCGGCCCGUAAACCCCUGUCAUUCGCGAGCAAAGCUGCCGGUUGAACAAGCCGGCAGCCUGAUAGUAGCGAAAGAGGAAGGGACGGCUAACUCUGUGCCAGCAGCCGCGGUAAUACAGAGGUCCCAAGCGUUGUUCGGAUUUACUGGGCGUAAAGGGUGCGCAGGUGGCAGGGUGAGUUCGGUGUGAAAUCUUCGAGCUCAACUCGGAAAUGGCAUUGAAUACUAUCCUGCUGGAGGGUCGGAGGGGAGACUGGAAUUCUCGGUGUAGCAGUGAAAUGCGUAGAUAUCGAGAGGAACACCGGUGGCGAAGGCGAGUCUCUGGACGAUUCCUGACACUGAGGCACGAAAGCUAGGGGAGCAAACAGGAUUAGAUACCCGGGUAGUCC
This 450-nucleotide ribosomal RNA is filed under the name uncultured bacterium. RNAcentral's name for it is "bacterial SSU rRNA". It matches the Rfam family "Bacterial small subunit ribosomal RNA", at positions 354 to 796 of the family's 1533-position model. The record is from RNAcentral.